Molecule: long non-coding RNA, 2891 nt
Organism: Amphiprion ocellaris (clown anemonefish)
Lineage: Eukaryota; Metazoa; Chordata; Actinopteri; Pomacentridae
Source: Ensembl
UGCAGACACACAUUCAAAGUCGAGCAAUAAGAGGAACCAGCAGGCAUAAUGGGCAGAAAAACAUUUAAGGGGAUGUGUUGUCUUAUGUCAGCCGAAGAAGCUCCAACUGGAUGCAGUGUGGUUAAUACAUUCGGAAGAACGCCAUCUGUGUCUCAGGAGCUUCAGCUGGAAAGGUCAAAGAUCGAAACUGGAAGCAGGAACUUUGAAGUGUGCAGAAAAAUCGCCUCAAACUACAGAGGCAAUGAGACUGAAAUUUCAGUGCAAAGCUGUGAAGGGAACAUCAGUGAAGAGGUUGAAAAGGAAUCAUCUACAGAACAUCAGAGACACCCCAUGAAUCCUGAAGAGGCUCAAAGUCAGUUUGUACAGAAGCUGACUGCUCUGAAAGGUAUUUUUUCCACUUCCGUCAACUGCUUCAGGUGCGUCCUGAAACCUGACGAAGGAGGCAACCAUGAUGAAGAUCAAUAUCAUCCAGUUACAAUCUUUAACAAGCACACCAGAAACUCCAUGGAUCUAAACACUGUCUGUGGCACUUCAGCUACAGGAAUAAAUCGAUGCAUUUACGAAGGACUCGUGGAACACAGAAGUGCAACAUUAAAUCUCACCAAUCUCCACAUUAUGGUUCAGACAAACCCACAGUCUUCAAGGCUAGAAAGCCCUUUGGUUCAGGAACGUAUUGGAGAAACCAGUGAGUGUACUGCUGAGGUUAUAGUUCUAGCUAAUGAACACGCUGCUGAGAAUAUAACCCCAACACACACACACACACGUAAAAAGGAACAGAAAAUGCCACCAUCCUAAUAUACUAACCGUGUGUGAAGGAAACCAGGAGACUCUGAAGCUCCAAAAAAUCGCCAUGUGUAAGUGAAGACAUGAAAGGGACACCAAAGCAAAUGUAGGUGGAAGGAUUCAGAUGACCCCACAUUCUCUGGAGAUCUCUUGCUCAGAAUAGCGCUGUGAGUCACAUUUCUCCAAAUGUGAACAAUUUUCACAAACAAUAAUGCACAUCAAGGAGAAGUGCGUCAGAGCAUCCAGCAGCAAGGGGACGAGAUCAGACUUUCUGCAACGUUUAACGGUGACUCAUUCUCGAUUCACCUCAACCCUGCUGGAGAAAAUGACAUGGGCCCAAAUGGGAAACAAAAUAGCAGCAGACACUGUGACUGAUGAUGCUGUUGUUAUGGAGAAUGUACAGUCGGAGGUUCUGAUGCUACUCUCUCUGUCAGAACUGUACACACUGAGCAACAGUGGGAGGAAACACAGCGUUUUGUGCUGUCCAUAUGGAUUUCCACAUCUGACACAGCCGCAAACAAUAUUUCAGUGUUUUUAUGAGGAGGUUUCCAUUGAUUAAUAGCACAAGACCAACAUACAGCCAUAAAGGAUAAACCUUAAGAUUUUAAUUUGCAUGAAGGACGUGUUCAUUUUUUUUGUCUACAAGGGAAGCUUUCAGCCUGGUGCUGCUACAGGAAGGGAAUUCAGUGCAACUUCAAUAGAUAACCUGCUCUGGUCACCUAAUCAGAUAUUCAGCCUGAUUAUUUAAAUAUGAAUUAAUUCAGGAAUAUAUGACAUGCAGUGCAAAAUUGAUAAGUCAAGGCAUUAAAGCAACACUGCUUUUUUUAAACUAAAUGUUUUGUCAAGAGUUAGAGAAGAAUAUAAAUGCCAUGCAAUGUGGACCUGCCACCAGCUGAUGGUUAGCUUAGCUUAGCAUAAACAGUGGAAACUGGUGGUAACAGAUAGCCAGGAUCUGUACAAAGGUGACAAAAUCCACCUCUUCUAAAGCUUAACAAAGAGAACAUUAUAUCUUGUUGGUUUAAUACAUUCAAAGCUGUUGUGUUUUAUUGGUUGAGGAUUAGUUGGGCCUGCAGGAAACAGGAGACUAAUGCAAGCAUAUUUCACAAUUUCAUUUCGAACAAGACAACACAGAGAGUACAGUACUCCACCAAGGCUGUUCUUUCCCUCACAUGACAUUGUCAGAAAUGCAGGAUUUUUUUUUUUAAAGAUAUGCACCAUUUAUUUACUAGUUAUUGAUGAUUAAAAAUCAUGACAACAUAGAAUGUGGCCAUUUAAUAUAGAUGUACCCAUAAACAAAAUUACCUAGCGCUGAGCACAGGCGUGUGUUAUGCAUGUGUACAUUAUGUACGGAUACGGAAUCGCAUGACCUAAAUAUGUAGCGGGCAGCAGGAAUUGAUGGGACUCAGAAACUCCCCCACAAUGUAAUCAGCUGUUUCUUGUAUCAUUUCCGAUGUAUAAGUCCUGAUAAGCCCUCAGUGGUGGAUUUGUAGUAGGAUCACAAUCAUGUGAUCAUCAGCGGGCAGCUGACAUAGUGUUCACUUGUCAUAGUUACUGUGAUGGUGCCGCUAUCUUGCAAUUAUACAGAAAUCUUUAAUAAAUCUGUGGAUCUAGACUAUAAGCCACAUCACUGCCAAAAUCUAAUCUAUUGGUCCUUGUGGCAUUUCUGACCUUCCUUGAAAAUUUCAUCCAAAUCUGUUGGUCCAUUUUUGAGUAAUGUGGCUAACAGACAGACAGAUAAACAAACCAACACCGAUUGUCACAUAACUCCACCGCGUUCCUUGGUGGAGUAGCUAGAUGGAGGUUUUCCUCAAGCUUCAAGAUUUGACAUUGAACCAGAAAACACUUAAACCCAUCUAUGCCAGUUGAAAUUGUGCUUUAGUGUCUACCUCAUAAUGGCCAGAUUGUAACCAACUGAUUUGACCAUUCACACAUCCUCAUAGCGCUUUGGGAGAUUUUCUUAAGCACCACUUUAAUGUUUGCACACAUAUGCAAAAUUUAUUAUGACUAUGAAGCAUAUUUAAGCUGCCUGAAACCCUUUUGGAUUUGAAUAAAGUUACCCACACUACUGCUAAGAAACAGCUUGUUUCCUGUUCCUGUCAACACCUUCC